Long non-coding RNA from Gopherus flavomarginatus (Mexican gopher tortoise), 478 nucleotides. RefSeq lists it as uncharacterized. The record is from RefSeq and is a predicted model, not a curated record. The transcript is spliced from 2 exons. Lineage: Eukaryota; Metazoa; Chordata; Testudines; Testudinidae.
CUCACUCAGAAAACUCAAUUCAGAGUGUUGAUGCAAAGAAGGAAGAAAUGUUUUCUUCAGAUGUCUUCUCUCCCCUUUCCCUUGAAAAGUCUGCAUGAUAAAGCCAAACAAAUGCUGUAAUUGACCUACCUCCAGCCACAUUUUGGUAUUACCAUUGGUUGCCUUUGAUGUACAGCAGAUUCAUCUGGAAAGAUAAUGAGAAACACCUCUGUGGAAAGACUUGUGGAUUUCUUUGAGCAUCACUCUCCAAGACAUUAUCUUUGCACAUUUUUAAUGCUUAACCACCAAUAGCUUUGUAUUCCUUGCCCCUAAACAUCCUCAGAAUAGGUCUCUUAUACUGCUCUAAGGGGUUCUUUAUAAUAACUAUAAAAGUAGUAGAAAAAGAAAAUGGAUGCUGUAUUAUGUUGGUAUGCAUUUAAUCGGAGAAUGCAUAGGUGCUUUCAGAGGCAUAAGUAAUAAACAAACAUCGUACAAAUGA